RNAcentral lists this ribosomal RNA (492 nucleotides) under uncultured bacterium. RNAcentral describes it as "partial 16S ribosomal RNA". It matches the Rfam family "Bacterial small subunit ribosomal RNA", at positions 29 to 507 of the family's 1533-position model. The record is from RNAcentral.
AGUGAACGCUGGCGGUAGGCCUAACACAUGCAAGUCGAACGGCAGCACAGUAAGAGCUUGCUCUUACGGGUGGCGAGUGGCGGACGGGUGAGGAAUACAUCGGAAUCUACUUUUUCGUGGGGGAUAACGUAGGGAAACUUACGCUAAUACCGCAUACGACCUACGGGUGAAAGCAGGGGAUCUUCGGACCUUGCGCGAUUGAAUGAGCCGAUGUCGGAUUAGCUAGUUGGCGGGGUAAAGGCCCACCAAGACGACGAUCCGUAGCUGGUCUGAGAGGAUGAUCAGCCACACUGGAACUGAGACACGGUCCAGACUCCUACGGGAGGCAGCAGUGGGGAAUAUUGGACAAUGGGCGCAGGCCUGAUCCAGCCAUACCGCGUGGGUGAAGAAGGCCUUCGGGUUGUAAAGCCCUUUUGUUGGGAAAGAAAAGCAGCAGGUUAAUACCCCGCUGUUCUGACGGUACCCAAAGAAUAAGCACCGGCUAACUUCGUG